CUAACCCCGCCCUCUCCCAGUAGAGGAGGUGGGGCUCUCUCUAACCCCGCCCUCCCCCAGGACCCAGGGCUCUCUCUAACCCCGCCCUCUCCCAGACUAGGAGGUGGGACUCUCUCUAACCCCGCCCUCCCCCAGAAGAGGAGGUGGGGCUCUCUAUAACCCCGCCCUCCCACAGGACAGGGCUCUCUCUCACCCUGCCCUCCCCCAGGACACAGGGCUCUCUCUAACCCCGCCCUCUCCCAGUAGAGGAGGAGGGGCUCUCUAACCCCGCCCUCCCCCAGGACGCAGGGCUCUCUCUAACCCCGCCCUCUCCCAGUGGAGGAGGUGGGGCUCUCUCUAACCCCGCCUUCCCCCAGGACACAGGGCUCUCUCUAACCCCACCCACUCCCAGUAGAGGAGGUGGGGCUCUCUCUAACCCCGCCCUCUCCCAGUAGAGGAGGCGGAGCUCUCGCUAA
Gopherus flavomarginatus (Mexican gopher tortoise) is the source of this 455-nucleotide long non-coding RNA. RefSeq lists it as uncharacterized. Lineage: Eukaryota; Metazoa; Chordata; Testudines; Testudinidae. The record is from RefSeq and is a predicted model, not a curated record. The transcript is spliced from 3 exons.